UUUUGAUUUGUUUUAGUUAUAUUCAACUCCAUAGACCACAUAUGAGAACUUCCGUCACAGAGGACUAAGAGGAGACAACAGAAUCAAUGUGUAUUAUCGCGGUUGCAUGAACAGUUUUGUUGAAGUAUUCUGCUCGAAGAUAGAACCUUCAAAGAACAAUUUCCGCGGAUAUGUACAUGAAGGGGCAUCAAAGACUAGUAAAGGCGGCAACGUUCAAGUAACAGAAGUUGACAUUUCUGAUGAGGAUAGAAGAGUGAAGGUAGAAG
RNAcentral lists this unclassified non-coding RNA (266 nucleotides) under Hevea brasiliensis (rubber tree). The record is from RNAcentral. Lineage: Eukaryota; Viridiplantae; Streptophyta; Magnoliopsida; Malpighiales; Euphorbiaceae.